RNAcentral lists this ribosomal RNA (253 nucleotides) under uncultured bacterium. Its description in RNAcentral is "partial 16S ribosomal RNA". It matches the Rfam family "Bacterial small subunit ribosomal RNA", at positions 524 to 776 of the family's 1533-position model. The record is from RNAcentral.
UACGUAGGGUGCGAGCGUUGUCCGGAAUUAUUGGGCGUAAAGAGCUUGUAGGCGGUUUGUCGCGUCUGCUGUGAAAUUUCGGGGCUCAACCCCGAACUUGCAGUGGGUACGGGCAGACUGGAGUGCGGUAGGGGAGAAUGGAAUUCCUGGUGUAGCGGUGGAAUGCGCAGAUAUCAGGAGGAACACCGAUGGCGAAGGCAGUUCUCUGGGCCGUAACUGACGCUGAGGAGCGAAAGCGUGGGGAGCGAACAGG